UAGUUAGGCUCCUAUACUUUCGAAAGUACGGAGGCCUCCGUACUUGUAAGUUAUUUUCGAUGAUGAGACUUCUAAUUCGGCGAUCGGUUCCGUUAAAUAUGAUCUACGCUAUUGGAACUAUCUAGAAACCAAAUUUCAUAAUUUUUUGACUUUGUUUGCCUAGUGAACGAGUAGCUUUAAAAUGAACGGCUGAAAAUAAAAAUCUCAUAAAAAACAGCGAUACAGGACUCAAAUUUCAAAUCGGAAGUAUUGUUCUUGCUCUUGAUGCUAAGUAGAAUUUUCUAUUAAAGUUUCAUGUAAUUUGGAUAAUUCUACACCGUUGAACUUAAAAACGUGCCACAUCG
RNAcentral lists this long non-coding RNA (344 nucleotides) under Ananas comosus (pineapple). Its description in RNAcentral is "long non-coding RNA (ACOM_LNC022513)". The record is from RNAcentral. Lineage: Eukaryota; Viridiplantae; Streptophyta; Magnoliopsida; Poales; Bromeliaceae.